RNAcentral lists this ribosomal RNA (373 nucleotides) under uncultured bacterium. Its description in RNAcentral is "bacterial SSU rRNA". It matches the Rfam family "Bacterial small subunit ribosomal RNA", at positions 524 to 898 of the family's 1533-position model. The record is from RNAcentral.
UACGGAGGGUGCAAGCGUUAUUCGGAAUUACUGGGCGUAAAGCGCACGUAGGCGGCCUUGUAAGUCAGGGGUGAAAUCCCACGGCUCAACCGUGGAACUGCCUUUGAAACUGCAGGGCUUGAAUCCUGGAGAGGGUGGCGGAAUUCCUGGUGUAGGAGUGAAAUCCGUAGAUAUCAGGAGGAACACCGGUGGCGAAGGCGGCCACCUGGACAGGUAUUGACGCUGAGGUGCGAAAGUGUGGGGAGCAAACAGGAUUAGAUACCCUGGUAGUCCACACCGUAAACGAUGGAUACUAGGUGUCGGGGACUUGAUCUUCGGUGCCGUAGCUAACGCGUUAAGUAUCCCGCCUGGGGAGUACGGUCGCAAGGCUGAA